Molecule: long non-coding RNA, 265 nt
Filed under: Elaeis guineensis (African oil palm)
Lineage: Eukaryota; Viridiplantae; Streptophyta; Magnoliopsida; Arecales; Arecaceae
Description: long non-coding RNA (EGUI_LNC046874)
Source: RNAcentral
UCCCUUCAAGCCUUGAGAUUAGAUCUCAAAGCUCUCUCCUCCUUCCCUUCUAAAGAAGUCCUCUAGCAUCUUCAUCCAUCUUUCUUGCGAAGAUUGGCAUGCGAGCGAAGUAGAGGGUUUAGACAUUUGGAUCUUGCGAAGCAAUGAUCUUCAAGAGUCAAUCUACCUUGAUCAUAUUUUUGUUAUGCAUCAAGGUAACUUUCAUAAGAGUUAUAAAAAAAUUAAAUUUAAAAUCUGUUCUUUUUUUCCCCUUGGCAUUCAAUCC